This 885-nucleotide long non-coding RNA is filed under the name Danio rerio (zebrafish). RNAcentral describes it as "si:dkeyp-47f9.3 (ENSDARG00000097923.2)". The record is from RNAcentral. Lineage: Eukaryota; Metazoa; Chordata; Actinopteri; Cypriniformes; Danionidae.
GAAUGAGUGUGUAUGGAUGUUUCCCUGUACUGGGUUGCAACUGGAAGGGUAUCUGCUCCGUAAAACAUAUGCUCGAUACGUUAGCGGUUUAUUCCGCUGUGGUGUUCCCAGAUGAUUAAAGAAACUAAACCGAAGGAAAAUUAAUAAAUUAAUAAUUAAAUUAGCAUUUUUGUUAGGUUACCUGCAGUUCCUGAUUUUCCAUUGCGGCCAGGGAUGCUAGGAUCCCUGUCCAUUACUUCCUCUGGGGUUUCUGAUUGGCUGCUGUAUCCACGGCCUCCACCUCCAGCAGCAAUCAGUAGUGGAAUGUGGACUCCAUUCACCACCUGCAGUGAACAGGAAUAACUUCUUAUUGUCAAUGAACAAAAUUGUCACCUUGAAGACGUAGGUGCCUCCCCCUCCACCACCACCACCUCCCUUGAGCUGGGUUUUAUUGAUAGAGGGCCCUUGCUGUUCUCUGCAGAUGCGGUCCAUAGUAGGUACCAUCUAUGACAGGGCAAGCAUCCUCUCCUUCCUGUCCCACAAGAAUAUAGAGCAACUCGUCCUUCUGUAACAGGAAGUCUCCGGUCAUGUACACCCCAUGUGACUUGUGAACCGCCAGAACACUGCGUCCACCAGCUGCUCCAUAUGCCGUGAUCCUAAACCCAUGACAAAGAAGGUGGAGUGCAGCUUCAAACCACACACAGGCAUCCAGGAAGAGUGACACAGGUGUGCAAUUAAGGAAAGCACACCGCGUGUGCUGUGAUGUGGAGGUUUGUGAGUACUCCAAAGGAGCAUGGAUAACCAUUCUAUGGGGUUCGUGAUGCAAUGGAACUAUCUUGACGCUUUGAUUGGUGGAAACGGCUGAGUCAUCGGAAAGCUGGGCAGUUGCACGCGGUGCAUCAUGAG